This is a long non-coding RNA of Serinus canaria (Common canary), 3758 nucleotides long. RefSeq lists it as uncharacterized. NCBI's taxonomy places the organism in Eukaryota, Metazoa, Chordata, Aves, Passeriformes, Fringillidae. The record is from RefSeq and is a predicted model, not a curated record. The transcript is spliced from 2 exons.
ACCAAAUGGCUUUUUUCAAAGCUAAAAUGUCAGCUCAUUGAAAACAGUUACUGAAAUAAAAUUAAUUUAAGAAUAUCUUUCCAAAUAUUUUAGACUGGAAAUUUUGAAAUCAGAUUAAAUUUUGGGUUUCUGACUUAAAUGUUUACUUGUAGAUUUAAAAGAACAAUAUUAAUACAUUAAAUCAAAAUUUUCCUCACUCUUCAUUCUUAUUAUCUUUGUUAUGGUUGCAAUAAACAGGAUAAGUUGUGGAUUUAUUUCUGUUACUCUUUUUUUCACCUGUGUGUGCCCCUCCCCCUUCCUUUUAUGUUCAAUUUUCAAACCUUCCUUGACUUUGGAAGGCAGAAGGGAAAAGGGCAUUAGUGUGAAUAGGCUAUCACACAUCCUGAAGUAUUGAGAAAAUGGUAAAAAAGUAAAAAGAUGAAGAGAAAACAAAAAGCUAAUGUUUAUAAAUUAAAGGCUUUGAGGUAAAGUGACUUAAAACAAAAAUUUUUCUAGCAAGUACAUUUGAAUUGAAUAUUUUUAAAUUGUUGAGGGAGGACUGGGUGGUGUCUAUAUUUAAAAUUUCCCCUGAAACUUUCUUGAAUGGAAAAGGUGAAGAGUAUUUUGGGAAGACUUUUCCAUAAAGAAACCUGAGAUUUUAGAUGAACGGGGCAAACUACACAACACCUUUUAGGGCAUUUUUAUUAAUAAAUAAUAAAUUUAUAGAAAUCAGUCUCAUUUUUCUGUAUUCAGGUAACUUUGUUUAUGUAGGGCCCAUCAAGAAAAAACAGUUGUCAAGAAGUUAACAGCACUACAGUCUUUAUAUAAACUUGCUCUAACAGGCCAAGCUUACUUGUAAAGUUUCCCUCCCCUUUCUGAAAGUGUCCUUCAAAUGCACAGUUUGUGUUUUGUCAGAUGGUUCAGGCUGCCUAGAAACAGCCUUUCCUGAGCAGGAGCUUGGGACAGAGCCUAACUUCUCAACUGGAUGCCUGCAGUGAGGCAGUGCUGUGUGAUGAGCACAGCAAACACAGGAGUGGAGUGACAGGAGUUUGCAGCAGACAUCCCAGGAACCCCUAGAACAUCAGCUGAGCUUGCCCACAUUUCAGUAGUGGUCAGGGUUGCCCUCAUCCAGGCAGAGACUUGUUGGGGCCUGCCUGCUCUGAGAGUCUCUCACAGGAUGCAUAGCCCCUCAGCUGCUCCUCCCAUAGCUUCCAAGAGAUAGUGAAAGCCACUCGCAGCAUAUCUUAAGUUUGUACUGGAUACACGAAGAUCGAUCAACAGCAGAACAGGGAAAAAAUAUUUUCAAAUAAAAUUCCUUUUUAUUUCAGUUAAAUUGCAAAUUUAAUUUCUUGAAUAACUUAUCACAGCAAUAUGACAAGCGGGACAUAUGCUUUUGGUUCUUGAUGGAGCUUCCCAUGUGUUUCACAACAAAAUAUUUAAAUAACAGCAAUUUCUUUUAAAAAAUGAUUAAUAUGGAUAAUACCACCAACAGAAGAAUCACCUGAAGCCCACAUGCAGCACUUGCUAAUGCAUGCAUUGGCUAAAUCCAAAGAUUUAGUUUUAAAAGGUAUAUGGAACGUGUGCCAGAAAAACGCAGCAGGCUUCCAUGUGUAUUUUGUUUCGAUCUGAUAGAAUUAAAUGGACCUUUGUGUGACCUCCCUGACCUAUCCAGAACUCCCACUGGCUUUCAAGAUUGACAGUAAUGCUGGCGAGAAGCUUAUGAAACAGGGCAAAUCUGCUAAGGCAUGUAAACCCCUUUUUCAAUAGUGCCUCAAGCAUUUAGGCACAGAUCUUGGAAGGGAUCUUAGCAGUAAUAAACUUCCUAAACACCACAGCCUCAAUGCCUAAGUUUUCCAGUCUUUGACAUAACCUAACCAGCCAGGGGUCUUAAGAGUCCAAAUGAUAAACAGGCCUGAGGUGCUUUGAGAUCCACAGUGUGUGCCCUACACGUUUAAACAAGUACAUCCCUGACAAAUCCCAAAAGCAUUCCAAAAUCCUGACUCAGGACUGUACUGAGUAGAGUUUCUAACACACAGUAAAUGGACAAUGAUUGCAGUAGAAAGGCUCUGUUUUGUUUUGUUUCUCAUAGUGCUUCAGAUUAUGGCCUUCCAUUGAGCAGCUUUGUGUCCUUAGAGCAAAAAACCUAAAACCUAAGUCUAACUCAGUAUUGAGGAAUUAUUAAUCCCAAGGCACCAUGGAGUUAGUGUGGUCAGUCAGGAGCAGUGACUAUCCCGUAAUUGAAGGUCUCUAAGAAAAGCCUUAUAUGGUUCUGACCUGCCAUGAAUGCAUCUCAAGGGCAGGGUUAUUAUGCUUUAACCAAACAUUUCACUUACAAAUGCCUCUGCUGUUAUCUAAGUUGCUGAUAUCUUGUUGAGGAGUGAACCCAGAGGAGAGAGAACAACGCAAGAAUGUGGAAAUAAUGGUGAGAGAUAGAAAGAAUAUUAAAACAGAACAGAGAAAUUGAAUGGCAAGAGAUGAAGAGGAAUAAAAUAUGCCUUGCAAAGGGCAAGUCACACAAGGCAUGAAGAGGGAGGUUAUUUUGGAAAAUGCAUCGAACCCACCUCCAUUUCUAUUUACAAGCUGAUUCAGCAGUGCCUGUCAUUCAAAUCAUGUCUCAACAGCAAAGGAAUUGUUGUGAGAAGCAAAUCAUAAAACCAACAGGUGCAGAGAACAUGCUGCUGCUGCUGUGUUUGAAAAAAAAUAAAUUACAGGUCUCACAUUUAACAUCAACUACAAAAAGCUGAGGUGGAAGAAACUGCUAUAAGAAUGUGAGCCAGCAAGCUCCUAUCCCUACAGUGGUUUGGUGGUGGUUUUUUUUUUUUAACUCAUCACACCUUCCAUGCAGGAUCUGUGUCUGUGUGUGUGUGUGUGUGUGUGUGUGCGCGCAUGCAUUUGUCUUUUGGGUUUUUUAAUCCAAAUUUCUCACUGGUUUCUCUAAUGAAAGGUCGACUUCUAGAGGACAAAAUCUACUUUCUUCCUCUUAUUAUUUAAAAUUACAUUUUGUCAGCUGCCUAGGGACUUAGCGGCCACAACUAUCUUAUUUACUUUGCUGCCUUCUUCUUCCUUUCUUCUUUAUUGUUAUUACUCUAUAUGAUUAUUAUUAUUAUUAUUAUUACUAUUACUAUUAUUACUAUUACUACUACUACUACUACUACUACUACUACAAUCCUGUGAAUGCUGUGACUGAAAAUGCAGAAUGUCUGAGCCCACACAACUGGAGCAGCAGAGGUGUCUGCAUAUGAGGAAGCACAGCCAACUGCAUGAACUAACAAAUUUUAGCCUUUUCUACAGCAAACCGGUACAGGUUUCAUGUGAACUGCAUUUCUUCAGCAGCAAUAGCAACAUUCACCGGGUGCCAAACUGAUAGUGCCCCGCAAGUGCCCGCCCUUUAGCCAUGGCAAGCACCCACGCACCCGCACACCGCUCAGGCAGAAGGCAGAGGAGCCUCAUCCUAGCCCGCCAGCCAAAUCCAGAGAAAUAUCCUAUCAUUUUGGGACAACUACUUGCAUUGCUUGCAGGAGAGGAUUUUCAAGGAGAAAUGAACCAAAACAGUUUUUUUGACACUGAGCUUUGAAGAGCAUAGUGACUCUUGUCAAAUGUAAUUUAAAAAACACCAAAACACCUUGGCUGUUUCACUUCUUUCCUGCUUGCUUCCCAAGCAUGGAUAUUCAGUGUUUAAAUCCCUCACACAUCUUGAAGCUGACUACCCCACCAUGCAGAUACACUAUAAACUGAUACGGGCUAACAAAGAAAGCCAUAAAUAAAUCUCUUGAUUUUUA